GUAAACAUAGUUUAACCAAAACACUAGCCUGUGAAGCUAGAAAUAGAGACGUAACCUCUCUUAUUUACC
RNAcentral lists this transfer RNA (69 nucleotides) under Elephantulus rupestris (western rock elephant shrew). RNAcentral's name for it is "tRNA-His". It matches the Rfam family "tRNA". Rfam says of the family: Transfer RNA (tRNA) molecules are approximately 80 nucleotides in length. The record is from RNAcentral. Lineage: Eukaryota; Metazoa; Chordata; Mammalia; Macroscelidea; Macroscelididae.